CGCCACACCAGAAGCGCCGCCAGUGCCUUGUGUGGUGUGCGUGUGGGAGGUAGCUGGGCUGGUCAUGCUCCCCAGCGGUACCUGACUCUGGCUAGACCAAGUAGUCACACUGAACCUGACUCUCACUGACGAAGGAGUGGGAUAACAGAAGGAGGAUCCUCACACAAACUCGUCCUUAUCAGGGUGAUCAGAGUGGGACGCCUCGCCUAGAUCGUCUUAGAGCGACGUUUAUUUACCCCAAGUUUAUACAGAUUCACUGUGCUGGUGGUGUGUCGUCUGCCUACAGUACCACCCACCAUCAUAGCUCUAGGCUUCUGGUGGCGAGCGCUGGUAAGAAUCACUCGCUCGAUGCUAUAAGAACAGCCACGAGCCGUAGUCGUGGCACCAGUGGCUGGACCUCAAGAGAAGGGGGGUGAGGUGUCUGGAUAACCCACAUGGGAUCCACAUGAAGAAGGACUCUGGAAGUUCAAGGAUCUCUAUAAGCUUAAACACUCUCACAAGCUGAAGGACUCCCAUAAGCUGAGGAACUACCACAAGCUGAAAGAUCCCCAUAGGCUACAGGAACUUCCCAUGAGCUGAAGAGCUUCCCAGUAGUUGAGUGUGAAGGACGGCCAACAGACUCAGGCAGAGAAGACCACAGGAACAUCACUGCUUCUACACUCGGAUAUAUCGUGUGUGUGUUGUGUAGUGAUGGAUGAUAAGAUAAGCAUAGGUUAUUAAACCAGAAAGAUAGAUAAGAUAAAUUAAGUAAUAUGUGAUAAGAUAGAUAAAGAAAAGGAGUUUUGUGUGACAAUAUUAUGCCUGAGGACUUCACUGCUGAAGUAGAGGUCCCAUUAGCAGUGAUCGGAACUGACUGUGCCAUCACCCAUUCCCUCAGUGCCAUCAGUGCCCUGCCUUAGUGCCAUCAGUGCCCUGCCUUAGUGCCACCAGUGCCAUCCGUCCCUAUUCAGUGUCACUAGUGUCCUACCCUAGUGCCAGCAGCCGCCAUAAGGCACUAUGUCGUCAAAGGGGGAGCGCAUCUUGUCACAGAUCCAGGCGAUGCAGUGCCACGUGACACAGCUACGUCAGGAGGCCAGCAUAACGCGUAUCCCUGUCAGCCAAGCGUGUCACGAUUUGAUCAAGUACUGCGAGGAGCACCAACAGAUGGAUGUGUUGGUGACGGGCAUCAGCCAAUCAGAGAACCCCUUCAAGGAGAACAAGGCCUGUACUAUCUUGUGAUGCAGUGUGGCCGGCCGGGAGUAAGAAGGGACCCAAGACGCAGGACCUUCGCCACACACUCCGACCAUCAACAAACCUGGGCAGUGACCUCGAGGAGUAAACGCCUUCAUGUUAACUGCACGUAUAAUAAAACUACAAGAAGAGGAAGAAGAAGAAGUCAUUGCUUACUAUUUUGCUACUCUCUUUCUAUAUAAGCUUGAGUAAUAGACAUGUGAAUGAGUGAUAUAGGUCACUAAGGAUUGUUGUUACUAUGUGUUCAGUUUUUGGGGUGUGAGAGAGUGUGCUCAUUGUUGUAUUCGUAUGUUAGGUGUGAAGACGUUCUUACAAAAAAACAGUUCGAGCAGAGGUUCGCCUGUCAGCGGUGACCUCUGUGUCGUGACGUAACUCACUGAUAGGUUGUACUGAACACUGAUCCCCCUUAUACCGUGUGCAUGGGGCCAGCUUAACCUAGCUGGAGUUGUAGCUUCAUCACUCAAACUACAACACUGUGGGAUAGUUCGGUCAAGAAGCAGCUACUAUGUCGACCCUUCUGUCUUCUUGACCUGCCAGCCCAGCUGGUGUUGUCCCAGCUGAGUAUGAGCUAGCCAGCUGCAGGUGGUGCUACCCUGCUACGUGUGUAAGGAACCCUAGCCAGCUUAGAGCCUGCCUGCUUAAUCUAAAGGACAACCUGCUGUCAUGUAAACUCCCAGUUAUUGCUGGGAAUGUGUGUAUGUGUGUGUGUGUGUGUAACGAAGUGGGUCACAUCCCUGUAUGUUGUGCCGCCAGUGUCGCCUCCCUGUGUGUUCUGGUGUUGGCUCUCGUGUCACAUCUACCUGUGGUUCCCAGGUGGUCAUAUCUGUGAGUGUUUACCAGAUGGUCACAGCUGUAUGUUCUGAUGAUAUUUUCUGGUGUUACGUCUCUGUAUGUAACUUGUAGGUGUAUGGAAAUUACACUACGUCAACAAAGUCAACACACCACAACACAGGUUUAACAUUUCCUGUGUAGAAGGGAAACAUCCAUGACUCCUACACACCUAAGGGGAAAAAAUUACGGUAAUUUCCCUCGUUGGUGUACACAGUCAUAAGGUGUCGCUGCGAGAUUUAUAUAUACAGUAUACGCAUCAGCCGAGCUUUCUGCUUGUCAUAAUAUUUUUAAUAGCUGUCAUUCGUGUUAGUUUUUUUAUAAUAAUAGUAGUCCAAGUAUUCCUCCUGCACCAUUGUGGCUUUCUCACUGUAGUCAAGUUCCUCACCUAGCAACCCAUAGAUUAAUAAUAGAUUUUGUCCCAGUUCGUCUCACACAAAACUAAAAGGCUGUCUGAUAAAUCUUCACACUCCUCUUCUUCUCUUUCUUCCUUUUCGUUAUGUUCUUUAUCUUCCUCUUCUUCCUCCUCGUCUUCUUGUCAUUCACCUUCUGAUAUUUCAUCUUUCUCAUCAUCCCCUUGGCCAUCUCUGUCUUCUUCCUAUUCAUUUGAUUCGUCCACUAUGCCUCCUUCUUCUUCCUUUUCGUAUUCUUCCUCAUCCCUUACUUCCUCCUCACCUUUACCACCUUCUUCUCCCCCAUCUUCUCCUACACAUCAUCCUUUAACCCAUUUACCACCUUAUUACAGUAUCUCUAUCCCUCCUAUCCAUCCAUCUCAAAUCUUACCCUGCAGUGAUCUCCCUGCCUCCUAUCCAUCUUCCUCAUCUUUCUCACCUUCUUCCUCAUCUGGUUCUCUUCCUUCUUCCUCUAACCUCACUUCAUCUACACCACCUUCAACCUGUGUUUCCUAUCUCACUUUCUAUAAUUCGUACCCAAUGUAUUUUUUGGUGUUCUCAUUCCUGACGCUUGUUUUGUCAUCAUUACUUUUCAUCCUCCUCGUUCUCCAUGUUUACCUCACUUCCAAUGUUGUUCUCUCACUGUUCCUAUUGUCAUCUUGUUUUAUCUCUUCUCUCUUCAGUGCCUCAAUAUGCUGUGCCUUCUUCCUCAUCUUCGUCAUCAUGUUUUCCUCGUGUGUUUGUUUCUGCUCCGUCUUCCUGCAUUGUAAACGAGAGGUGUCUUACGUGUAUAGUUUGUGGCUCAGAGUAAUGUAAACUUUAAAAGGGAAAUCAUUAUAGGAAUUCAAAGCAGAAAUAAUAGACCCCCUUUUGAGACUAAAAAUUUAUACACGGAGACGACAAUGAAGUAUUUUUGAGAUGGGAAAUAAUUACUACUGAUAUACCAACUGUGAAUCUCAUUACAUAACCCUUAAAUAAUGUGUAAAACUCCAUCCGGGUGGCAAAGAUGUAUAUUCACCCCAACUCUGGUGAAUUUGUGUACAUUGUGGAGAAGUUACGUAAGAAAUUCACAGUUCACAUGGCAUUAAUGAUAUUUUAUUCCAAGAUGGAUUAUUAACGUCUCCUGUAUACAUAUAUUAAGCCCUAAAAAUACACCGUAUCAACUCUGAACUGUUGAAAUAACCCGUUAAUACACAUUUGUAAUUAUCUUUAGGUGUUGAGUCAAGAGAGCUAUAACAGGGGGUAGGUUAUCAUCGUGGUGGUGGUAGGGAGAGAAGAGUCAAGACCCAUACUCUGAAAAUCUGAUCGAUGGCACGUAAGAGAAAAUUUUAGGGAUGGAGGUUACUGGUGGCUGAUGUUUGUAAGUGAAGGGAUUGUUGGUUGGUCUGAUUUUUAGUAUUUUUUUGUCAGUUCCUUUCUGAAAACCUAAAAUUUUCUCAAUAUUUUAGGGAUGAAGAUUAUUGGUACCCACAGAUAAUCAUACGAAGAUAUUUAAUAACAUGGAUGAUUUUUUUUUUAAGAAGAAUCAUAUCAGAAAAAUUAAUUAAGGAAAUUGUCUGAAAUUUCCAUGGGUAAAAUUGAUAACCAAAGCGAAUUAUGCAACUGGGAGGAUUAAUAUAUUAUUCUGUAUUAGGAAUCUUGCUCAAGUCUUAUGUAUUACUGUCUGAUUGGAAAGACAAAUGGUGGUGUUUUUUCACUGUUGGUAAUCUAAAAAAAAUAUAAAAAAUAAUCUCAGAGAAUUGCUUCGUCAGGUCAACUUUUUUUUCCCAUGUUUAGUGGCACCCAUAAUUCCACCUGAUUCUGUUAUACACUGAAUGAGGUGGUACAGUACUUUUUUAGGUAAGCUAGUGUAUGACAGCUGGUGCGUUCAGGUGGUCCUACAAGCUGGUACGGUCAGAUGGUCUUAUAUGCUGGUGUGUUCAGGUGGUUUUACAAGCUGGUGUAUAUGACAGCUGGUUCAGGUUAC
Molecule: long non-coding RNA, 4416 nt
Organism: Homarus americanus (American lobster)
Lineage: Eukaryota; Metazoa; Arthropoda; Malacostraca; Decapoda; Nephropidae
Exons: 5
Source: RefSeq, a predicted model, not a curated record